This 264-nucleotide long non-coding RNA is filed under the name Ananas comosus (pineapple). Its description in RNAcentral is "long non-coding RNA (ACOM_LNC037148)". The record is from RNAcentral. Lineage: Eukaryota; Viridiplantae; Streptophyta; Magnoliopsida; Poales; Bromeliaceae.
GAGACUAGUUGGGCUAUGAAUUUUGCUUGCUUGCCAUUGUGCUCAUUCGCACACGCUUGUGAGGGUAGCUCCCUACAAGCCGGCACUCCGGAGUUGGCCUACGCGACAGUUGCUCGCCCGUGCGGGAUUGAGUGCCGAAGUGGAUUGCCGUGGGGAGUGGAUACUACCACGGGGCCAUUCAGCGCGGCGCAAGCGGGAUUACCCUACGUAAACUAAUAUGAACGCCAUUUAAGUUUGAGAUGACAGUAAUGAUUGCUUACUAAC